This 1343-nucleotide ribosomal RNA is filed under the name uncultured bacterium. Its description in RNAcentral is "16S ribosomal RNA". It matches the Rfam family "Bacterial small subunit ribosomal RNA", at positions 28 to 1378 of the family's 1533-position model. The record is from RNAcentral.
GACGAACGCUUGCGGCGUGCUUAACACAUGCAAGUCGAACGGAAAGGCCCUGCUUUUGUGGGGUGCUCGAGUGGCGAACGGGUGAGUAACACGUGAGUAACCUGCCCUUGACUUUGGGAUAACUUCAGGAAACUGGGGCUAAUACCGGAUAGGGGCUCCUGCUGCAUGGUGGGGGUUGGAAAGUUUCGGCGGUUGGGGAUGGACUCGCGGCUUAUCAGCUUGUUGGUGGGGUAGUGGCUUACCAAGGCUUUGACGGGUAGCCGGCCUGAGAGGGUGACCGGCCACAUUGGGACUGAGAUACGGCCCAGACUCCUACGGGAGGCAGCAGUGGGGAAUAUUGCACAAUGGGCGGAAGCCUGAUGCAGCAACGCCGCGUGCGGGAUGACGGCCUUCGGGUUGUAAACCGCUUUCGCCUGUGACGAAGCGUGAGUGACGGUAAUGGGUAAAGAAGCACCGGCUAACUACGUGCCAGCAGCCGCGGUGAUACGUAGGGUGCGAGCGUUGUCCGGAUUUAUUGGGCGUAAAGGGCUCGUAGGUGGUUGAUCGCGUCGGAAGUGUAAUCUUGGGGCUUAACCCUGAGCGUGCUUUCGAUACGGGCUGACUUGAGGAAGGUAGGGGAGAAUGGAAUUCCUGGUGGAGCGGUGGAAUGCGCAGAUAUCAGGAGGAACACCAGUGGCGAAGGCGGUUCUCUGGGCCUUUCCUGACGCUGAGGAGCGAAAGCGUGGGGAGCGAACAGGCUUAGAUACCCUGGUAGUCCACGCUGUAAACGGUGGGUACUAGGUGUGGGGUCCAUUCCACGGGUUCCGUGCCGUAGCUAACGCUUUAAGUACCCCGCCUGGGGAGUACGGCCGCAAGGCUAAAACUCAAAGGAAUUGACGGGGCCCCGCACAAGCGGCGGAGCAUGCGGAUUAAUUCGAUGCAACGCGUAGAACCUUACCUGGGUUUGACAUGGAUCGGGAGUGCUCAGAGAUGGGUGUGCCUCUUUUGGGGUCGGUUCACAGGUGGUGCAUGCCUGUCGUCAGCUCGUGUCGUGAGAUGUUGGGUUAAGUCCCGCAACGAGCGCAACCCUUGUUCACUGUUGCCAGCACGUUAUGGUGGGGACUCAGUGGAGACCGCCGGGGUCAACUCGGAGGAAGGUGGGGAUGACGUCAAGUCAUCAUGCCCCUUAUGUCCAGGGCUUCACGCAUGCUACAAUGGCUGGUACAGAGAGUGGCGAGCCUGUGAGGGUGAGCGAAUCUCGGAAAGCCGGUCUCAGUUCGGAUUGGGGUCUGCAACUCGACCUCAUGAAGUCGGAGUCGCUAGUAAUCGCAGAUCAGCAACGCUGCGGUGAAUACGUUCCCGGG